CGGUUUAACCUAAUAGUAAGC
Molecule: unclassified non-coding RNA, 21 nt
Filed under: Chlamydomonas reinhardtii
Lineage: Eukaryota; Viridiplantae; Chlorophyta; Chlorophyceae; Chlamydomonadales; Chlamydomonadaceae
Description: small RNA Cre_1367
Source: RNAcentral